UGCUAAUCUGGCCUGACCAUAUUGGAAUUAGUUCUCACUUCAGAAGGAAACUUGUAAAAAGCUACUAGCAUGAGGAACUUUUCUGACUCAAAAUUAAAAAUAAACCUUUAUUACCCAUGGGAAGAACCCAUACCUGUUGCUCAGAUGGCCCCUUUGACUCCUUGAUCCCUGUAAUCCAAUCCCCUGGAUUCUAGAGCUAUUCCUUACACUGAUGUUUGACUCUUGUCUGGUUCUUGAAGUCUUACCUAUUUUCUGGUAACCGUUCACAAUAGAUAUACAAAGUAUUGUUGCCUACAUUCUAGGGCUCACAAUUGUAGGGAGAUAGCUUUAUGUAACUCCUUCUUUAAGGACAAUUCUCAAAAGUGAAAAUGUGGCUGCAACUAGUAGUUCAGAGUACCAUCUUGGUUACCUGGGUCACCUAACCCAGAGAGAAGAAAAACCCUAAGAGCUGGGAGGGAAUUUUGUUUUUGUUUUUUAAAGGUAAAAAAGCUGAAGAAGGUACAAUUCUUUUCCUUGUAUUGAAAGGCUUCUGCCUACUUUGUUUCAUAUCUAGAUAGGCAUCAUUUUUAUAAAUAAGGAAACUUUGGCCCCACAAAAGAGGAGGGGAAACUCUGAAAAGCCAUCUUACUUACUCUGAAAGGGAAUGUGAAAAGUACUUUAUAUUUCAUGAUUAGACAGAUGAUGCUUUUACUUUUCUUUUUCCAUGAGAAAUUCAAACGGUUACAUGAGAGUUGAGUGAGAGUUAGGGACCCAAAUAACCAGAGGUAAUUCCUGAAUUCCAGCAACAUCCUUCCCAGGAAACAAUAAAAGGUCAGAAUUUUUUGUUCUUGUUCUGGUCAGGAAAGAGGAUGUAGGGUGACAUUUGGGAUGCCAUCAUGUCAACACAACGUACAUUUGACAGAACCACCACCACCACCAACAACAACAACAACAAAAAGCAGGGAAAAGUAAUUUUGCAACUUAGAAGAUCAUGGGGAAAAUCUAUCUCACUAGGUAAAGAAUGGAACUCAAUCCAUCAUAGGCUAUUGCCCAGAAGGAGGCUUGGGGGCAACUGAAUCUCUGGCUUGGUCUGGCAGUUCUAUGAAUUAGGCUGCUGUGGCCCUGCAGGAAAACUCCACAAGAAUAGGGCAACAGUGCCAGCCCCAAAGAAAUGAAAGUUUGGGGGAGAAACCACUUUUCCAACAUCAGUUCCCACAGGGCUUUAAAAUAACUGUCACUGCUAACAGAUGUACAAAGUCUAGUGAAUCAGACAGUGUAAAAAAGCAGAGAGAGUAUUAGAUUCGAAGUCAGGAAGAGCUGUAUUCAAAUCCUACUCCAGGUGUUUGUGAUCAGGGACUCUUGAAUGUUCAGUCUUACAUUCCACAUGAAUAAAGUAGUGAUAAUAAUAGCCA
Molecule: long non-coding RNA, 1391 nt
Filed under: Monodelphis domestica (gray short-tailed opossum)
Lineage: Eukaryota; Metazoa; Chordata; Mammalia; Didelphimorphia; Didelphidae
Description: lncRNA (ENSMODG00000039675.1)
Source: RNAcentral